This 253-nucleotide ribosomal RNA is filed under the name uncultured bacterium. RNAcentral's name for it is "partial 16S ribosomal RNA". It matches the Rfam family "Bacterial small subunit ribosomal RNA", at positions 524 to 776 of the family's 1533-position model. The record is from RNAcentral.
UACGAAGGGGGCUAGCGUUGUUCGGAAUUACUGGGCGUAAAGCGCGCGCAGGCGGUUUGUCGCGUCGGGAGUGAAAUCCACUGGCUUAACUGGUGGCUUGCUUUCGAUACGGGCAGACUGGAGGUAUGCAGGGGAGAACGGAAUUCCUGGUGUAGCGGUGAAAUGCGCAGAUAUCAGGAGGAACACCGGUGGCGAAGGCGGUUCUCUGGGCAUGUCCUGACGCUGAGGAGCGAAAGUGUGGGGAGCGAACAGG